GGGGAUGCACUGGGUUCGAUUGCAGCACUUAGUCGGGAUGUCCUGCAUGCAGUGGGUGGUAGCACUUAAAAAGCCACACAACAAACAAACGCAAACAAUAAUUUUGCUUUAGCAGCGUAAGCUGCUACGGUCGCUGGAGGAGUUUAGUCCUGUACUACGAAAGAUGACCGUCAGACGAACAGGAAUAGUGAUUAUGAUUCUCUGACAUAAUCGCAAAAUAAAGGAGAUGCUGUAAUAAAUCGGUACCGUAUUUGCACCUGUUUAUUACCUAAGAUAUAAGCAAAAACUAAGCAUGUAGAAGGCUCCAGUCAGUCUCGUAAGACGCGGGUUCGAUUCCCGCCAUCUCCAAUA
RNAcentral lists this transfer-messenger RNA (351 nucleotides) under Spirochaetota. RNAcentral describes it as "GWE2-31-10 sp001829315 Standard tmRNA". It matches the Rfam family "transfer-messenger RNA". Rfam says of the family: Bacterial tmRNA, also known as 10Sa RNA or SsrA, is named for its dual tRNA and mRNA-like properties. Its role is to liberate the mRNA from a stalled ribosome. RNAcentral also lists the same sequence under 5 other names. Lineage: Bacteria; Pseudomonadati. The record is from RNAcentral.